GAGUUUGAUCAUGGCUCAGGAUGAACGCUGGCGGCGUGCCUAAUACAUGCAAGUCGAGCGGUAAGGCCUCUUCGGAGGUACACGAGCGGCGGACGGCUGAGUAACACGUAGGAACGUACCCCAAACUGAGGGAUAACUGCUCGAAAGAGUAGCUAAUACCGCAUGUGGUCUUCGGAUUAAAGCUUCGGCGGUUUGGGAACGGCCUGCGCAUGAUUAGCUUGUUGGUGAGGUAAUGGCUCACCAAGGCGACGAUCAUUAGCUGGUCUGAGAGGAUGAUCAGCCAGACUGGGACUGAGAACGGCCCAGACUCCUACGGGAGGCAGCAGUAGGGAAUUUUCCACAAUGGACGAAAGUCUGAUGGAGCAACGCCGCGUGCAGGAUGAAUGCCUUCGGUUGU
Molecule: ribosomal RNA, 397 nt
Filed under: uncultured bacterium
Lineage: Bacteria
Description: bacterial SSU rRNA
Rfam family: Bacterial small subunit ribosomal RNA
Source: RNAcentral